This 1642-nucleotide ribosomal RNA is filed under the name Escherichia coli. RNAcentral's name for it is "partial 23S ribosomal RNA". It matches the Rfam family "Bacterial large subunit ribosomal RNA", at positions 609 to 2236 of the family's 2925-position model. Lineage: Bacteria; Pseudomonadati; Pseudomonadota; Gammaproteobacteria; Enterobacterales; Enterobacteriaceae. The record is from RNAcentral.
UGUAUAAUGGGUCAGCGACUUAUAUUCUGUAGCAAGGUUAACCGAAUAGGGGAGCCGAAGGGAAACCGAGUCUUAACUGGGCGUUAAGUUGCAGGGUAUAGACCCGAAACCCGGUGAUCUAGCCAUGGGCAGGUUGAAGGUUGGGUAACACUAACUGGAGGACCGAACCGACUAAUGUUGAAAAAUUAGCGGAUGACUUGUGGCUGGGGGUGAAAGGCCAAUCAAACCGGGAGAUAGCUGGUUCUCCCCGAAAGCUAUUUAGGUAGCGCCUCGUGAAUUCAUCUCCGGGGGUAGAGCACUGUUUCGGCAAGGGGGUCAUCCCGACUUACCAACCCGAUGCAAACUGCGAAUACCGGAGAAUGUUAUCACGGGAGACACACGGCGGGUGCUAACGUCCGUCGUGAAGAGGGAAACAACCCAGACCGCCAGCUAAGGUCCCAAAGUCAUGGUUAAGUGGGAAACGAUGUGGGAAGGCCCAGACAGCCAGGAUGUUGGCUUAGAAGCAGCCAUCAUUUAAAGAAAGCGUAAUAGCUCACUGGUCGAGUCGGCCUGCGCGGAAGAUGUAACGGGGCUAAACCAUGCACCGAAGCUGCGGCAGCGACGCUGAUGCGUUGUUGGGUAGGGGAGCGUUCUGUAAGCCUGCGAAGGUGUGCUGUGAGGCAUGCUGGAGGUAUCAGAAGUGCGAAUGCUGACAUAAGUAACGAUAAAGCGGGUGAAAAGCCCGCUCGCCGGAAGACCAAGGGUUCCUGUCCAACGUUAAUCGGGGCAGGGUGAGUCGACCCCUAAGGCGAGGCCGAAAGGCGUAGUCGAUGGGAAACAGGUUAAUAUUCCUGUACUUGGUGUUACUGCGAAGGGGGGACGGAGAAGGCUAUGUUGGCCGGGCGACGGUUGUCCCGGUUUAAGCGUGUAGGCUGGUUUUCCAGGCAAAUCCGGAAAAUCAAGGCUGAGGCGUGAUGACGAGGCACUACGGUGCUGAAGCAACAAAUGCCCUGCUUCCAGGAAAAGCCUCUAAGCAUCAGGUAACAUCAAAUCGUACCCCAAACCGACACAGGUGGUCAGGUAGAGAAUACCAAGGCGCUUGAGAGAACUCGGGUGAAGGAACUAGGCAAAAUGGUGCCGUAACUUCGGGAGAAGGCACGCUGAUAUGUAGGUGAAGUCCCUCGCGGAUGGAGCUGAAAUCAGUCGAAGAUACCAGCUGGCUGCAACUGUUUAUUAAAAACACAGCACUGUGCAAACACGAAAGUGGACGUAUACGGUGUGACGCCUGCCCGGUGCCGGAAGGUUAAUUGAUGGGGUCAGCGCAAGCGAAGCUCUUGAUCGAAGCCCCGGUAAACGGCGGCCGUAACUAUAACGGUCCUAAGGUAGCGAAAUUCCUUGUCGGGUAAGUUCCGACCUGCACGAAUGGCGUAAUGAUGGCCAGGCUGUCUCCACCCGAGACUCAGUGAAAUUGAACUCGCUGUGAAGAUGCAGUGUACCCGCGGCAAGACGGAAAGACCCCGUGAACCUUUACUAUAGCUUGACACUGAACAUUGAGCCUUGAUGUGUAGGAUAGGUGGGAGGCUUUGAAGUGUGGACGCCAGUCUGCAUGGAGCCGACCUUGAAAUACCACCCUUUAAUGUUUGAUGUUCUAACGUUGACCCGU